RNAcentral lists this long non-coding RNA (1391 nucleotides) under Populus trichocarpa (black cottonwood). RNAcentral's name for it is "long non-coding RNA (PTRI_LNC003471)". The record is from RNAcentral. Lineage: Eukaryota; Viridiplantae; Streptophyta; Magnoliopsida; Malpighiales; Salicaceae.
AGAAAGAAAGAAAAGAAAAAGAAUGGCCACCGUCUCAACACAAGCUUCUGCUGCCGUUUUCCGGCCAUGUGCUUAUAAGUCGAGGUUUCUCGCUGGGGCUCCAAGUAAACUGAACAGAGAAUUGUCCAUCAAACCAAUGGCAUCGUCAUCUCCUAGUUUCAAGGUUGAAGCCAAGAAAGGAGAGUGGUUACCUGGUUUGCCUUCUCCAUCUUAUCUAAAUGGCAGGUGAAAAAGAAAACAUGUUUUAUAGCUUUUCUCUUAGCUAAUGCUCUCAAUUAGCAUUGACUGAAACCUUGUCUUGUAUAACUCAGCCUUCCAGGUGAUAAUGGGUUUGACCCCCUCGGGCUUGCUGAGGACCCUGAGAACUUGAGAUGGUUCGUUCAGGCUGAGCUUGUGAAUGGUCGGUGGGCCAUGUUGGGCGUUGCAGGAAUGCUACUGCCAGAAGUUUUCACAAAGAUUGGAAUCAUCAAUGCUCCUCAGUGGUAUGAUGCUGGCAAAGCAGAAUACUUUGCGUCUUCAUCAACCCUCUUUGUGAUCGAGUUCAUACUGUUCCAUUACGUCGAGAUAAGAAGGUGGCAAGAUAUUAAGAACCCAGGAUGCGUUAACCAAGAUCCCAUCUUCAAACAAUACAGCUUGCCUCCAAAUGAAUGCGGGUACCCCGGCGGCAUCUUCAACCCCCUCAACUUUGCACCCACAAUUGAGGCCAAAGAGAAAGAGCUUGCCAAUGGUGAUUAUCCAAAACCUGGUUAAUUGAGCUUUUACUUGUUUUUGGCUAAGCUAAUGUUGUCUGAUUUAUGCGACAGGGAGAUUGGCAAUGUUGGCAUUCUUAGGAUUUGUGAUUCAGCACAAUGUGACCGGCAAAGGACCGUUCGAGAACCUCUUGCAGCACAUCUCAGACCCGUGGCACAACACCAUCGUCCAAACAUUUAGCGGUAACUAAAUUCAUCGGAGAUGAAUUGGAGUCAUCUUGUCUGUUUCUUUACAUGGAUGAAUGAAAUUUAUGUAUCGAUGUAAACAAGUAAACUUCAAUGUACAGGGGAACAAGUGGCAUUAUGAUUCACAUAGAUUGAUCUUUAUUUUAUUUUUUGUUAUAUAUAUAUGUGUGUGUGUGUGUGUGAAAAUGCUAAUUUAUGAUGUAUUUUUAAUAAAAAUGUGUGUGUUAAAGUUAAUAUAAGAUGACUUUUAAAUUGAAGAUGAUUGUUUUAUAUAUCAAAACAUUAAUCAUCAAUUGUCAUGAAUUAUGUUUCUUUCACUACCUAAUACCUCACUUAAUAUUAUCAAACCCAUUUUUGUUUUUUCUUUAUUCUAUAAAGCUCCUCAAAGAUUCUAAGAACAUGAGAUGAAGCAUAAUUAGUCCUUUUUAAUUAUUUCUAGAUAUGAUUUAUUGUAAA